Molecule: transfer RNA, 77 nt
Filed under: Chloroflexota bacterium
Lineage: Bacteria; Bacillati; Chloroflexota
Also listed under: 1 other name
Description: tRNA-Arg
Rfam family: tRNA
About the family: Transfer RNA (tRNA) molecules are approximately 80 nucleotides in length. Their secondary structure includes four short double-helical elements and three loops (D, anti-codon, and T loops).
Source: RNAcentral
GCGCUUGUAGCUCAGUGGAUUAGAGCACCAGUUUGCGGAACUGGGGGUCGUGGGUUCGAGUCCCGCCAAGCGCACCA